This 484-nucleotide ribosomal RNA is filed under the name uncultured bacterium. RNAcentral describes it as "partial 16S ribosomal RNA". It matches the Rfam family "Bacterial small subunit ribosomal RNA", at positions 30 to 507 of the family's 1533-position model. The record is from RNAcentral.
AUUGAACGCUGGCGGCAUGCUUUACACAUGCAAGUCGAGCGGCAGCACGGGGGCAACCCUGGUGGCGAGCGGCGAACGGGUGAGUAAUACAUCCGAACAUGCCCAGUCUUUGGGGCUAACACUUCGAAAGAAGUGCUAAUACCGCAUACGUCCUGAGGUUGAAAGCGGUGGAUCGCAAGACCUCGCGCGAUUUGCUUUGCCGGUGUCAGAUUAGCUAGUUGGUUGGGUAAAGGCCUACCAAGGCAACGAUCUGUAGCUGGUCUGAGAGGAUGAUCAGCCACACUGGAACUGAGACACGGUCCAGACUCCUACGGGAGGCAGCAGUAGGGAAUCUUGGACAAAGGGGGAAACCCUGAUCCAGCAACGCCGCGUGAGUGAAGAAGGCCUUCGGGUUGUAAAGCUCUGUCGGCAGGAAAGAAAAGGUGAGCUAUAAAAUAGGUUGCUAAUGACGGUACCUGAAGAAGAAGCACCGGCUAACUACGUG